This 492-nucleotide ribosomal RNA is filed under the name uncultured bacterium. Its description in RNAcentral is "bacterial SSU rRNA". It matches the Rfam family "Bacterial small subunit ribosomal RNA", at positions 15 to 507 of the family's 1533-position model. The record is from RNAcentral.
GAUCCUGGCUCAGAUUGAACGCUGGCGGAAUGCUUUACACAUGCAAGUCGAACGGUAGAGGGGGCAACCCUUGAGAGUGGCGAACGGGUGAGUAAUAUAUCGGAACGUGCCCAGUCGUGGGGGAUAACGUAGCGAAAGUUACGCUAAUACCGCAUACGAUCUAAGGAUGAAAGCGGGGGAUCGCAAGACCUCGCGCGAUUGGAGCGGCCGAUAUCAGAUUAGGUAGUUGGUGAGGUAAAGGCUCACCAAGCCAACGAUCUGUAGCUGGUCUGAGAGGACGACCAGCCACACUGGAACUGAGACACGGUCCAGACUCCUACGGGAGGCAGCAGUGGGGAAUUUUGGACAAUGGACGCAAGUCUGAUCCAGCCAUUCCGCGUGCAGGAUGAAGGCCCUCGGGUUGUAAACUGCUUUUGUACGGAACGAAAAGGUCUCUAUUAAUACUAGGGGCUCAUGACGGUACCGUAAGAAUAAGCACCGGCUAACUACGUG